AACUAUCGCCGCGGGGGAAAUUUUGUUUUGAAAGCAAAAAAAAAGUGUUCAAUUCACUUGGUAGUUU
Molecule: transfer RNA, 67 nt
Filed under: Leptochiton nexus
Lineage: Eukaryota; Metazoa; Mollusca; Polyplacophora; Lepidopleurida; Lepidopleuridae
Description: tRNA-Ser
Source: RNAcentral